Molecule: ribosomal RNA, 1516 nt
Filed under: Klebsiella sp. ok1_1_9_S35
Lineage: Bacteria; Pseudomonadati; Pseudomonadota; Gammaproteobacteria; Enterobacterales; Enterobacteriaceae
Also listed under: 3 other names
Description: bacterial SSU rRNA
Rfam family: Bacterial small subunit ribosomal RNA
Source: RNAcentral
UCAGAUUGAACGCUGGCGGCAGGCCUAACACAUGCAAGUCGAGCGGUAGCACAGAGAGCUUGCUCUCGGGUGACGAGCGGCGGACGGGUGAGUAAUGUCUGGGAAACUGCCUGAUGGAGGGGGAUAACUACUGGAAACGGUAGCUAAUACCGCAUAAUGUCGCAAGACCAAAGUGGGGGACCUUCGGGCCUCAUGCCAUCAGAUGUGCCCAGAUGGGAUUAGCUAGUAGGUGGGGUAACGGCUCACCUAGGCGACGAUCCCUAGCUGGUCUGAGAGGAUGACCAGCCACACUGGAACUGAGACACGGUCCAGACUCCUACGGGAGGCAGCAGUGGGGAAUAUUGCACAAUGGGCGCAAGCCUGAUGCAGCCAUGCCGCGUGUGUGAAGAAGGCCUUCGGGUUGUAAAGCACUUUCAGCGGGGAGGAAGGCGGUAAGGUUAAUAACCUCAUCGAUUGACGUUACCCGCAGAAGAAGCACCGGCUAACUCCGUGCCAGCAGCCGCGGUAAUACGGAGGGUGCAAGCGUUAAUCGGAAUUACUGGGCGUAAAGCGCACGCAGGCGGUCUGUCAAGUCGGAUGUGAAAUCCCCGGGCUCAACCUGGGAACUGCAUUCGAAACUGGCAGGCUAGAGUCUUGUAGAGGGGGGUAGAAUUCCAGGUGUAGCGGUGAAAUGCGUAGAGAUCUGGAGGAAUACCGGUGGCGAAGGCGGCCCCCUGGACAAAGACUGACGCUCAGGUGCGAAAGCGUGGGGAGCAAACAGGAUUAGAUACCCUGGUAGUCCACGCCGUAAACGAUGUCGAUUUGGAGGUUGUGCCCUUGAGGCGUGGCUUCCGGAGCUAACGCGUUAAAUCGACCGCCUGGGGAGUACGGCCGCAAGGUUAAAACUCAAAUGAAUUGACGGGGGCCCGCACAAGCGGUGGAGCAUGUGGUUUAAUUCGAUGCAACGCGAAGAACCUUACCUGGUCUUGACAUCCACAGAACUUUCCAGAGAUGGAUUGGUGCCUUCGGGAACUGUGAGACAGGUGCUGCAUGGCUGUCGUCAGCUCGUGUUGUGAAAUGUUGGGUUAAGUCCCGCAACGAGCGCAACCCUUAUCCUUUGUUGCCAGCGGUCCGGCCGGGAACUCAAAGGAGACUGCCAGUGAUAAACUGGAGGAAGGUGGGGAUGACGUCAAGUCAUCAUGGCCCUUACGACCAGGGCUACACACGUGCUACAAUGGCAUAUACAAAGAGAAGCGACCUCGCGAGAGCAAGCGGACCUCAUAAAGUAUGUCGUAGUCCGGAUUGGAGUCUGCAACUCGACUCCAUGAAGUCGGAAUCGCUAGUAAUCGUAGAUCAGAAUGCUACGGUGAAUACGUUCCCGGGCCUUGUACACACCGCCCGUCACACCAUGGGAGUGGGUUGCAAAAGAAGUAGGUAGCUUAACCUUCGGGAGGGCGCUUACCACUUUGUGAUUCAUGACUGGGGUGAAGUCGUAACAAGGUAACCGUAGGGGAACCUGCGGCUGGAUCACCUCCUU